CAUUUAAUUUCUUGGUGGUUAAGAUUUGUCCUAAUAUAUAUAUAUAUAUAUUAGGACAAAUCUUAACCACCAAGAAAUUAAAUU
Non-coding RNA from Pelobates cultripes (western spadefoot toad), 84 nucleotides. The record is from the annotation of a GenBank genome assembly. NCBI's taxonomy places the organism in Eukaryota, Metazoa, Chordata, Amphibia, Anura, Pelobatidae.